GAUGAACGCUAGCGGCAGGCUUAACACAUGCAAGUCGAGGGGCAGCAGUGACGGAACCUUCGGGUUUUGUCGAUGGCGACCGGCGCAAGGGUGCGUAACGCGUGAGCAACUUGCCCGUUUCAGGGGGAUAACCGGUGGAAACGCCGACUAAUACCCCAUAGUAUCAUGAUCAGGCAUCUUUUCAUGAUUAAAGAAUUUCGGAAACGGAUAGGCUCGCGUGACAUUAGCUAGACGGCGGGGUAACGGCCCACCGUGGCUACGAUGUCUAGGGGUUCUGAGAGGAAGGUCCCCCCACACUGGAACUGAGACACGGUCCAGACUCCUACGGGAGGCAGCAGUGAGGAAUAUUGGGCAAUGGGCGCAAGCCUGACCCAGCAACGCCGCGUGAAGGAAGAAGGCUUUCGGGUUGUAAACUUCUUUUGUCAGGGACGAAUAAAUGACGGUACCUGACGAAUAAGCCACGGCUAACUACGUG
Molecule: ribosomal RNA, 475 nt
Filed under: uncultured bacterium
Lineage: Bacteria
Description: bacterial SSU rRNA
Rfam family: Bacterial small subunit ribosomal RNA
Source: RNAcentral